RNAcentral lists this ribosomal RNA (398 nucleotides) under uncultured bacterium. RNAcentral's name for it is "partial 16S ribosomal RNA". It matches the Rfam family "Bacterial small subunit ribosomal RNA", at positions 338 to 733 of the family's 1533-position model. The record is from RNAcentral.
CCUACGGGAGGCAGCAGUGAGGAAUAUUGGUCAAUGGGCGCUAGCCUGAACCAGCCAAGUAGCGUGAAGGAUGACUGCCCUCUGGGUUGUAAACUUCUUUUAUAUGGGAAUAAAGUGCAGUAUGUAUACUGCUUUGCAUGUACCUUAUGAACAAGGAUCGGCUAACUCCGUGCCAGCAGCCGCGGUAAUACGGAGGAUCCGAGCGUUAACCGGAUUUAUUGGGUUUAACGGGAGCGUAGGCGGUUUGUUAAGUCAGUUGUGAAAGUUUGCGGCUCAACCGUAAAAUUGCAGUUGAUACUGGCAUCCUUGAGUACAGUAGAGGUAGGCGGAAUUCGUGGUGUAGCGGUGAAAUGCUUAGAGAUCACGAAGAACUCCGAUGGCGAAGGCAGCCUACUAAA